This is a long non-coding RNA of Acipenser ruthenus (sterlet), 463 nucleotides long. RefSeq lists it as uncharacterized. NCBI's taxonomy places the organism in Eukaryota, Metazoa, Chordata, Actinopteri, Acipenseriformes, Acipenseridae. The record is from RefSeq and is a predicted model, not a curated record. The transcript is spliced from 3 exons.
UCUCCCUGUCCUCCCUGAGCACCGUCUGCAUGUCUCUGUGGAGGGGGGGGGGAGCACAGGGUCACGCACAGCAGGGGGAGGUUAUAACACGGUCUCACCAUUUCUCAGGUGUGGUUCAGUCAGGUGUAUUUCUCAGGUGUGGUUCAGUCAGGUGUAUUUCUCAGGUGUAUUUCUCAGGUGUGGUUCAGUCAGGUGUAUUUCUCAGGUGUAUUUCUCAGGUGUGGUUCAGUCAGGUGUAUUUCUCAGGUGUGGUUCAGUCAGGUGUAUUUCUCCGGUGUGGUUCAGUCAGGUGUAUUUCUCAGGUGUGGUGCAGUCAGGUGUAUUUCUCAGGUGUGGUUCAGUCAGGUGUAUUUCUCAGGUGUGGUUCAGUCAGGUGUAUUUCUCAGGUGUGGUUCAGUCAGGUGUAUUUCUCAGGUGUAUUUCUCAGGUGUGGUUCAGUCAGGUGUAUUUCUCAGGUGUGGUU